GCUCUAGGGAGACGUCCGCCGCCGAGCGA
Molecule: small RNA, 29 nt
Filed under: Bombyx mori (domestic silkworm)
Lineage: Eukaryota; Metazoa; Arthropoda; Insecta; Lepidoptera; Bombycidae
Description: ovarian small RNA-17105
Source: RNAcentral